AGUGAACGCUGGCGGUAGGCCUAACACAUGCAAGUCGAACGGCAGCACAGUAAGAGCUUGCUCUUACGGGUGGCGAGUGGCGGACGUGUGAGGAAUACAUCGGAAUCUACUUUUUCGUGGGGGAUAACGUAGGGAAACUUACGCUAAUACCGCAUACGACCUACGGGUGAAAGCAGGGGAUCUUCGGACCUUGCGCGAUUGAAUGAGCCGAUUUCGGAUUAGCUAGUUGGCGGGGUAAAGGCCCACCAAGGCGACGAUCCGUAGCUGGUCUGAGAGGAUGAUCAGCCACACUGGAACUGGGACACGGUCCAGACUCCUACGGGAGGCAGCAGUGGGGAAUAUUGGACAAUGGGCGCAAGCGUGAUCCAGCCAUAGCGCGUGGGUGAAGAAGGCCUUCGGGUUGUAAAGCCCUUUUGUUGGGAAAGAAAAGCAGCAGGUUAAUACCCCGCUGUUCUGACGGUACCAAAAGAAUAAGCACCGGCUAACUUCGUG
Molecule: ribosomal RNA, 492 nt
Filed under: uncultured bacterium
Lineage: Bacteria
Description: partial 16S ribosomal RNA
Rfam family: Bacterial small subunit ribosomal RNA
Source: RNAcentral